CUCGUAGGCGGUUCGUCGCGUCCGGUGUGAAAGUCCAUCGCUUAACGGUGGAUCCGCGCCGGGUACGGGCGGGCUUGAGUGCGGUAGGGGAGACUGGAAUUCCCGGUGUAACGGUGGAAUGUGUAGAUAUCGGGAAGAACACCAAUAGCGAAGGCAGGUCUCUGGGCCGUUACUGACGCUGAGGAGCGAAAGCGUGGGGAGCGAACA
RNAcentral lists this ribosomal RNA (207 nucleotides) under uncultured bacterium. RNAcentral's name for it is "partial 16S ribosomal RNA". It matches the Rfam family "Bacterial small subunit ribosomal RNA", at positions 568 to 774 of the family's 1533-position model. The record is from RNAcentral.